This 497-nucleotide ribosomal RNA is filed under the name uncultured bacterium. RNAcentral's name for it is "partial 16S ribosomal RNA". It matches the Rfam family "Bacterial small subunit ribosomal RNA", at positions 28 to 507 of the family's 1533-position model. The record is from RNAcentral.
GAUGAACGCUGGCGGCGUGCCUAAUACAUGCAAGUCGAGCGAACGGACGAGAAGCUUGCUUCUCUGAUGUUAGCGGCGGACGGGUGAGUAACACGUGGAUAUCCUACCUAUAAGACUGGGAUAACUUCGGGAAACCGUAGCUAAUACCGGAUAAUAUUUUGAACCGCAUGGUUCAAAAGUGAAAGACGGUCUUGCUGUCACUUAUAGAUGGAUCCGCGCUGCAUUAGCUAGUUGGUAAGGUAACGGCUUACCAAGGCAACGAUGCAUAGCCGACCUGAGAGGGUGAUCGGCCACACUGGAACUGAGACACGGUCCAGACUCCUACGGGAGGCAGCAGUAGGGAAUCUUCCGCAAUGGGCGAAAGCCUGACGGAGCAACGCCGCGUGAGUGAUGAAGGUCUUCGGAUCGUAAAACUCUGUUAUUAGGGGAGAACAUAUGUGUAAGUAACUGUGCACAUCUUGACGGUACCUAAUCAGAAAGCCACGGCUAACUACGUG